CUGAAGACGAUCUGAGCGACGAUGAAAGUGGCAUGAUAAGACUGAAUAAUAUCCCUAAUCUACAACUGAGCGAAGAUGAAGACGAGGAAGAAUGUAUCGGACUGGCGUCAGACGAGUUGGACCGUAAGAUAUCAGAGGCUAUAUCGAUAGUAACAUUUGAUGGGGAUAUAGAUAGAGAAAUGGGGAAAAUCCGUAACUUUGACUGUAAAUGUUACACGAGGAGAAAAGAGAACUCUCUGCAUGGGAGACAGUCUUGUAGCCAGAAGCUUUCUCCAGACAUUAUGUACAACAUACGGCUGGAUUCUUUAGCUGCGGAAAAAGAGUGUCAGGACAUGCUAAUUAUUGGACAUUUAGAGGCAAACAGACGCACAGUGCAAACUUCGGAGAUGGUUACAUCCACAAAGAAGACCCCGACAAAGAGAAAGUGUGCCCGAACGACUUAUUUCAUUGGAGGCAACGAGAUCUGCAAGAAUACUUUUCUGUUUCUUAUGGGGUCUAACCACUAACUGAGGUCUAAACCAGGACUAAAACAAGACUAAACCAGGAAGUACAGAUACAAGCUCUAAACAUUGGCAGAGACACCCUGGCUGAUAUAGUCAAACACUAUGAGGAGAAUGGGGCAAGACCACGUUUGAGGAAGAAGCACUCAUUGCCACGUCCACCAGCCAGGUUCAUCAGCCCUGAGGAUAUCAACAGAGUUGUGGACUUCAUAAAACACUAUGCAGAAGACAAUGCCAUCAUGCUGCCUGGCCG
Xyrauchen texanus (razorback sucker) is the source of this 753-nucleotide long non-coding RNA. RefSeq lists it as uncharacterized. The transcript has 3 exons. The record is from RefSeq and is a predicted model, not a curated record. Lineage: Eukaryota; Metazoa; Chordata; Actinopteri; Cypriniformes; Catostomidae.